Molecule: ribosomal RNA, 450 nt
Filed under: uncultured bacterium
Lineage: Bacteria
Description: partial 16S ribosomal RNA
Rfam family: Bacterial small subunit ribosomal RNA
Source: RNAcentral
AACGAACGCUGGCGGCAGGCUUAACACAUGCAAGUCGAACGCAUCCUUCGGGGUGAGUGGCAGACGGGUGAGUAACGCGUGGGAACGUGCCCUUCAGUUCGGGAUAACCCAGGGAAACUUGGGCUAAUACCGGAUACGUGCGUGAGCAGAAAGAUUUAUCGCUGAAGGAUCGGCCCGCGUCUGAUUAGCUAGUUGGUGGGGUAAUGGCCCACCAAGGCGACGAUCAGUAGCUGGUCUGAGAGGAUGAUCAGCCACAUUGGGACUGAGAACACGGCCCAAACUCCUACGGGAGGCAGCAGUGGGGAAUACUGGACAAUGGGCGCAAGCCUGAUCCAGCCAUGCCGCGUGAGUGAUGAAGGCCUUAGGGUUGUAAAGCUCUUUCGUCCGGGACGAUAAUGACGGUACCGGAAGAAGAAGCCCCGGCUAACUUCGUGCCAGCAGCCGCCGUAA